This is a non-coding RNA of Camelina sativa (false flax), 368 nucleotides long. The record is from RefSeq and is a predicted model, not a curated record. Lineage: Eukaryota; Viridiplantae; Streptophyta; Magnoliopsida; Brassicales; Brassicaceae.
AAACUGCAGAGUUCAGCGCUCGGGUUCUUGCUUGCACAAAAGCAUUUCACAAACCCUCUAGUUGCUGUUCCUUCUGCAGUCAGUGUUGUCUGUAUGGCGCUUGGCGGGAGUGGCUUGGCCGUGUUCUGGAGAAACCAACCAAUUCCGGCAGAUGACAAGGAUGACUUCAAGGAGUGAGUGAGUGACAUAGGAAAGGCGGUUUGCAUCUCCAAACGAUGUGAUUGUUGUAAUGUUUACUAAUUUGUGUUGAAAAAGUUUUUGUUUUAAGAGACAUAGAAACAAGGGCGUGCAUGAGAACUUGUGGUCAAAUUUAUUUUGUUUCUCAAUGAAUGGACACAAAUCUGUUUUUUUGGCACACUUUUUCCAAA